Molecule: ribosomal RNA, 501 nt
Filed under: uncultured bacterium
Lineage: Bacteria
Description: partial 16S ribosomal RNA
Rfam family: Bacterial small subunit ribosomal RNA
Source: RNAcentral
AUUGAACGCUGGCGGCAUGCCUUACACAUGCAAGUCGAACGGCAGCACGGGUGCUUGCACCUGGUGGCGAGUGGCGAACGGGUGAGUAAUACAUCGGAACGUACCUUAUCGUGGGGGAUAACGCAGCGAAAGCUGUGCUAAUACCGCAUACGCCCUGAGGGGGAAAGCGGGGGAUCGCAAGACCUCGCGCGAUUAGAGCGGCCGAUGCCUGAUUAGCUUGUUGGUGGGGUAAAAGCCCACCAAGGCGACGACCAGUAGCUGGUCUGAGAGGACGAUCAGCCACACUGGGACUGAGACACGGCCCAGACUCCUACGGGAGGCAGCAGUGGGGAAUUUUGGACAAUGGGGGCAACCCUGAUCCAGCAAUGCCGCGUGAGUGAAGAAGGCCUCCGGGUUGUAAAGCUCUUUUGUCAGGGAAGAAACACCGGCUCUAACACAGUCCGGGAAUGACGGUACCUGAAGAAUAAGCACCGGCUAACUACGUGCCAGCAGCCGCGGUAA